GACGAACGCUGGCGGCGUGCUUAACACAUGCAAGUCGAACGGAAAGGCCCUGCUUUUGUGGGGUGCUCGAGUGGCGAACGGGUGAGUAACACGUGAGUAACCUGCCAUUGACUUUGGGAUAACUUCAGGAAACUGGGGCUAAUACCGGAUAGGAGCUACUGCUGCAUGGUGGGGGUUGGAAAGUUUCGGUGGUUGGGGAUGGACUCGCGGCUUAUCAGCUUGUUGGUUGGGUAGUGGGUUACCAAGCCUUUGACGGGUAGCCGGCCUGAUAGGGUGACCGGACACAUUGGGACUGAGAUACGGCCCAGACUCCUACGGGAGGGAGCGGUGGGGAAUAUUGCACAAUGGGCGGAAGCCUGAUGCAGCAACGCCGCGUGCGGUAAGACGGCCUUCGGGUUGGAAUCCGCUGUCGCCUGUGACGAAGCGUGAGUGACGGUAAUGGGUAAAGAAGCACCGGCUAACUACGUG
RNAcentral lists this ribosomal RNA (468 nucleotides) under uncultured bacterium. RNAcentral describes it as "partial 16S ribosomal RNA". It matches the Rfam family "Bacterial small subunit ribosomal RNA", at positions 28 to 507 of the family's 1533-position model. The record is from RNAcentral.